Molecule: ribosomal RNA, 501 nt
Filed under: uncultured bacterium
Lineage: Bacteria
Description: bacterial SSU rRNA
Rfam family: Bacterial small subunit ribosomal RNA
Source: RNAcentral
GAUCCUGGCUCAGGAUGAACGCUAGCGGCAGGCUUAACACAUGCAAGUCGAGGGGCAGCGUGAGGGUUAGCAAUAACCCUUGACGGCGACCGGCGCAAGGGUGCGUAACGCGUGAGCAACUUGCCCUUAUCAGGGGGAUAACCGGUGGAAACGCCGACUAAUACCCCAUAGCAUCACAUUGAGGCAUCUUUUUGUGAUUAAAGAAUUUCGGAUAAGGAUAGGCUCGCGUGACAUUAGCUAGACGGCGGGGUAACGGCCCACCGUGGCUACGAUGUCUAGGGGUUCUGAGAGGAAGGUCCCCCACACUGGAACUGAGACACGGUCCAGACUCCUACGGGAGGCAGCAGUGAGGAAUAUUGGUCAAUGGUCUGACGACUGAACCAGCCAUGCCGCGUGAAGGUCACGGCCCUAUGGGUCUUAAACUUCUUUUGCGAGGGAGCAAUAAGGUCUACGUGUAGGCCGAUGAGAGUACCUCGCGAAUAAGCAUCGGCUAACUCCGUG